RNAcentral lists this ribosomal RNA (460 nucleotides) under uncultured bacterium. RNAcentral's name for it is "partial 16S ribosomal RNA". It matches the Rfam family "Bacterial small subunit ribosomal RNA", at positions 338 to 795 of the family's 1533-position model. The record is from RNAcentral.
CCUACGGGUGGCUGCAGUGAGGCAUAUUGGUCAAUGGACGCGAGUCUGAACCAGCCAAGUCGCGUGAGGGAUGACGGCUCUAUGGUUUGUAAACCUCUUUUAUAAGGGAAUAAAGCGAGGGACGUGUCCCUUUUUGCAUGUACCUUAUGAAUAAGGAUCGGCUAACUCCGUGCCAGCAGCCGCGGUAAUACGGAGGAUCCGAGCGUUAUCCGGAUUUAUUGGGUUUAAAGGGUGCGUAGGUGGGGUGUUAAGUCAGUUGUGAAAGUUUGGGGCUCAACCGUAAAAUUGCAAUUGAUACUGGGAGUCUUGAGUAUGUUUGAGGCAGGCGGAAUGCGUGGUGUAGCGGUGAAAUGCUUAGAUAUCACGAAGAACCCCGAUUGCGAAGGCAGCUUGCUAAGCUAUGACUGACGCUGAUGCACGAAAGCGUGGGUAUCAAACAGGAUUAGAUACCCCAGUAGUC